This 67-nucleotide transfer RNA is filed under the name Margarya monodi. RNAcentral's name for it is "tRNA-Ala". Lineage: Eukaryota; Metazoa; Mollusca; Gastropoda; Architaenioglossa; Viviparidae. The record is from RNAcentral.
AUGGUUGGUGGUUUAAUUAAAAAUCUGAUUUGCAUUCAGGAAUAAGACGAUAAGUCUUUGAAUCAUA